GAGAGAAAGGGAAUAGUUCAGCGCUGAAUCCCUUUGGCCUAUGGUCGAGGGACCUGUAGCGUGCAUAAAAAACUAUCUGUCGGGUUUUUAGCUUCGGAAUAUCCCUCCAAUGGGAACCCAAAGCAGGUGCGAGGCCUGUAACGAGGCGAUACCCGUCAGUUUGCGCCUCCAUAGAGUCGGGUUACUUGGGAGUGUAGCCCAAAGCGGAAGGUAAACCCCUUCUAAAGCUAAAUAUUACCACGAGACCGAUAGCGAACAAGUACCGCGAGGGAAAGUUGAAAAGAACUUUGAAGAGAGAGUUCAAAAGGGCGUGAAACCGCUUAGAAGAAAACGGAUGGAGCCGUCGGGGGCCUUCGGGAAUCAGUCGUACGAUGCGCGAAAGUGCUCGGGUUCUAGAGCGCAAGUCUAGACUCGGGCGCGAGUAGUUCGCGUUUGUGCGGCGCAUUUCUCGGAGGUAUGCACUGCGACCGAUACGAUAGGCCGACGUGACGUCGUCGAUUGAGGGCGAAACCUCUCGCGGGGUAUCGUAACCAGUCUCGACGUUUUUGAGGUCGGACCGAGGUAUCGAGCGCCAAAGUCUAAUAUAUACGUCGGCGUAAACGCUCGCUCGAACGGUGGACAGUCGGCCAAUACGGUUGGUAUCUGCUCGCAGGUAUUAGCCUAUUCGGUUCGGCGUUUGGAAACCGUCGGCGACAUACGACGUAUAGGCGUCGGCAGUGUCAGUGUCGGCCACCCAUCCGACCCGUCUUGAAACACGGACCAAGGAGUCUAACAUAUGCGCGAGUCAAUGGGUGGAAAACCCAAAGGCGUAAUAAAAGUAAAAGCCGUUUCGGACGGCCGAGGUACGAUCCUUGGAUUCGAGCGAUCCAAGGCGCAGUACCGUCCCGUCCCGACCGCAUAUCGGUAGGGCGGAGAUAGAGCGCAUACGUUGGGACCCGAAAGAUGGUGAACUAUGCCUGAGCAGAGCGAAUUCAAAGGGAACUCUGGUGGAGGUUCGUAGCGGUUCUGACGUGCAAAUCGAUCGUCAGAUUGGGACGAGG
RNAcentral lists this ribosomal RNA (1040 nucleotides) under Prodorylaimus sp. 1 HMM2018. RNAcentral describes it as "eukaryotic LSU rRNA". It matches the Rfam family "Eukaryotic large subunit ribosomal RNA", at positions 91 to 921 of the family's 3401-position model. Lineage: Eukaryota; Metazoa; Nematoda; Enoplea; Dorylaimida; Dorylaimidae. The record is from RNAcentral.